UGCCGUUAUGACGAAACUAGCUCUGUGAC
Molecule: non-coding RNA, 29 nt
Filed under: Homo sapiens (human)
Lineage: Eukaryota; Metazoa; Chordata; Mammalia; Primates; Hominidae
Source: RNAcentral